This 344-nucleotide long non-coding RNA is filed under the name Ananas comosus (pineapple). RNAcentral describes it as "long non-coding RNA (ACOM_LNC039355)". Lineage: Eukaryota; Viridiplantae; Streptophyta; Magnoliopsida; Poales; Bromeliaceae. The record is from RNAcentral.
UGGUUAUGCAAGAGAGUUUACACUACCGACCGUUCCUAAAGCAAGUGGCAAAAAGUUUGGUGGUUGGUACUUGAGACCUAAGUUCGAAUCUUAGCUGAUUCACAUUUCCAGCUAAGUUUUUUUCUAAAUAAAAUAAACGAAGCGGGUAGCGCGCUACCUAUCUCUCAAAAAAAAGAAAAAAGAAAAAAAGACUAUGAUCAACUGUUCCCAACAUAAAUGGUAAAAAAAGUAAUGAUUAAUAUCCGAAGUCUCAAGUUCGAAGUUUAAUUGUUUUAUAUUUACAGUUUUAAUUUUUAUUUCUGAAAAGAAUGAACGAAACGAGUAAUACACUACGUUCUUUUCUC